This 674-nucleotide ribosomal RNA is filed under the name uncultured Bacilli bacterium. Its description in RNAcentral is "bacterial SSU rRNA". It matches the Rfam family "Bacterial small subunit ribosomal RNA", at positions 63 to 716 of the family's 1533-position model. The record is from RNAcentral. Lineage: Bacteria; Bacillati; Bacillota; Bacilli.
CGAGCGAAGUUUUUCUGGUGCUUGCACUAGAAAAACUUAGCGGCGAACGGGUGAGUAACACGUAAAGAACCUGCCUCAUAGACGGGGACAACUAUUGGAAACGAUAGCUAAUACCGGAUAACAGCAUAAAUCGCAUGAUAUAUGUUUAAAAGUUGGUUUCGGCUAACACUAUGAGAUGGCUUUGCGGUGCAUUAGCUAGUUGGUGGGGUAAAGGCCUACCAAGGCGACGAUGCAUAGCCGACCUGAGAGGGUGAUCGGCCACACUGGGACUGAGACACGGCCCAGACUCCUACGGGAGGCAGCAGUAGGGAAUCUUCCGCAAUGGGCGAAAGCCUGACGGAGCAACGCCGCGUGAGUGAAGAAGGAUUUCGGUUCGUAAAGCUCUGUUGUUAGGGAGGAAUGAUUGUAUAGUAACUAUAUACAGUAGAGACGGUACCUAACCAGAAAGCCACGGCUAACUACGUGCCAGCAGCCGCGGUAAUACGUAGGUGGCAAGCGUUGUCCGGAAUUAUUGGGCGUAAAGCGCGCGCAGGUGGUUUAAUAAGUCUGAUGUGAAAGCCCACGGCUCAACCGUGGAGGGUCAUUGGAAACUGUUAAACUUGAGUGCAGGAGAGAAAAGUGGAAUUCCUAGUGUAGCGGUGAAAUGCGUAGAGAUUAGGAGGAACACCAGUGGC